GGGAGACCGUACCCACUAGAUUCUGAAAGCAAUCAGCAAAUAAGAAAAAAGUAGGUUAUCCCAAGGUCGUGCAAGGGAAAAACUGGAAGAAACUUUCAAACUAUUAGAGUCGGUUCGUACCUAAGACUAACUUUCCGAAAGGGGAGGUAAAACUUAGAAAAAACCAGACAAGGGCUAUUAGCUCAGUUGGUUAGAGCGCACGGCUGAUAACCGUGAGGUCUCUGGUUCAAGUCCAGAAUGGCCCACUGGAUUAAUCUAAAAAAUUAAUCAGCAAAAGCGCGUAAAAAUUGGUAAAAAGAAUCGGCAUCCUAUCUAAAACAGUAAAAACUGUGAUAGAGGGAAUGCUGGUUGAAAAACCAGUAAGAACCUUGAAAACUGCAUAAAACAAGAGAAAAGCAGGGAUAAAACCAAAG
This 413-nucleotide transfer RNA is filed under the name Coelomoron pusillum AICB1012. RNAcentral's name for it is "partial 16S-23S ribosomal RNA intergenic spacer". The stretch from base 172 to 245 matches the Rfam family "tRNA". The record is from RNAcentral. Lineage: Bacteria; Bacillati; Cyanobacteriota; Cyanophyceae; Chroococcales; Microcystaceae.